GGCUGGAGAGACGGCUCAACCGUUAAAGGCUAGGCUCACAACCAAAAAUAUAAGUGUAAGGGUCCUGUUAGAGAUCCCGCUCCAAACCAACACUGUGUGCAGGACUGUGGAGGUGAAUGGGUGCUGCCAGUGAAUUAAAUAGUUUUUGCUUGUUUAUUUACCUAACAGCUUGUAGUAGAUAUUUUGAGUCUAGGACCAGUGAGAAUAGAGUGUGAGAAAAAUGCCACAAGAUGUGACAUUUGCCUUAUAAUGUGUGACUGUUUGUCAUUUGUGUGUCACUCUUGUGAGGGGGAAAAAUGGCCCAGAAACGUUAAGUCCAGAGUGGUGCUAUCUUUCUUCUGAACAACUGUUACAUUCUAAUGUGUGUAAACUUAUUUAGAUGGCUACACCAAAACAAGACAGCUGAUACUAACUUAAAUUGGAAAUUGCCUCAUUAGUGAGUCAAUUCAUGAUUACUCAGUCACCUGAGUAAGACUGGGCUUGUCCCCGAUUGCAGCAAGAUCCCCCAACAUCCUGACAUCACCUGAAAUUGGUGCUCGCUCUUUUUCACUUUGAUUUAACUAGAAGUAACUUGAUGAAGGUUAGCAUGCGUUAGGAGACAAGCCUGGGCUGCCAGCUCUUCAUUCUUCUUCACUGUCUGGAGCGGUUCCCAGGCUGGGAGCAGUGAAGGUUGGUUGCUGUGAAGAGCCAGUGGGUGAUCUUUAUGUUUUUCAAUGAUGAAAUGUCUCCAUCUAGUGGAAUUUCAGAGCAGUAAACACUCACUAUUAAAAUGAAGGUAAAGCCUUUUUCUUAAACACAUGGUGGUCAGUAUAACUUCCAAUAUGCAUUUAGAUGCUAGACUUACAACUACAUAUAUUUCUGUGGGGCUAGAAAUGGGAACAGUGCUGACUUAAAAUGUUAACUUGGUUUUCUCCUUGGGGGUGGGGAUGGGCUCCUGGCCUUGUGUGCACUAGGCAGGCACGCGGCCACAAAGCAUCUACGUCAUGAGAUGUACAAGGCAGAGGCACACAUGCACACAUGCACGAAUGGUAGCUAAGAGAGAUGUUCACUUGACAAAGGACAUGGCUCUCCUUGGGGGAGUUUUGUCUAUGUAAAUUCUUUGAUGUGUAUAAAUAUUUCAAAUAAGAAUAUGGACACAAUGUGAUUAUAAUUAAACAGUUUUCUGGGUAAGAGAACUACAGUAUCACUCUCAUGGUUGAUCUGUUAGUUUAAUAAGGUUAAAAAGGAAAGAUGCUAGGAGUUUCUUUGUUUGUUUGUUGUCUCACUAUGUAGCCCUGACUGUCCUGGAUCCCACUUUGUAGACCAGGCUGGCUUUGAACUCAUUGAGAUUCACCUGGCUCUAUUUCCAAGUGCUUGGACUAAAUGUGUGCUCUAACACCCCUAACCAAGAAAUAGGUUUUAUAAUCCCUCAAAAUUAGAGAGAUAGCUCAGGAGUUAAGAGUGUGCUGCCAGCACCCACAUCAAUAAGCUCAUAACCAUCUGUAGCUCCAGCAGGAUAGAGGUCUCUGGUAUCCAAGGGCACCUCCACUCCUCUGCACAUUACUGCAUAGAGAGGCACACAUGCCUACACAUAAUUUUUUAAUAUAAUUUUUUAAAACUUAUAUUAGCACUUUGGGUGUGUGUGUGUGUAUGUGUGUGUUUUCUACUGUUAUUUAUCUCAUAGCCACACCCACUUGGAUGAGUUCCCAUUUUAUUCUUUUAUUCUGUGACUUUCUAAAGCCCCACCAGAUGUCACUGGUCCUUGGUACCCCUGCUCAGAAGUUUUUUCUGUAGGGAACCUGAAGGAGGGAGGACUCUGGCUUAACAGGAGGCCAGGGUGUCUACCUAAUGUUGACCUGGGGAAGGUCUUCCCAGCCCAAAAUCAGUACGUUUUCUUCCCUGACUGAGCAUCAACAGAGCCCAGCCAAAGACAAUUUU
This 1917-nucleotide long non-coding RNA is filed under the name Mus musculus (house mouse). RNAcentral describes it as "long non-coding RNA chr10:39519829-39521746". The record is from RNAcentral. Lineage: Eukaryota; Metazoa; Chordata; Mammalia; Rodentia; Muridae.